ACGGUCCUAAGGUAGCGAAAUUCCUUGUCGGGUAAGUUCCGACCUGCACGAAUCGUGUAACGAGUUGGGCGCUGUCUCUGGGAGAUGCUCAGUGAAAUUGUAGUCGCGGUCAAGAUGCCGCGUUCCCGCAGCAGGACGGAAAGACCCUAUGGACCUUUACUAUGUAACCUGGUAUUGGUGUUUGACUUUUAAUGCGUAGGAUAGGUGGGAGGCUUUGAUCCGAUUCUUCAGGGGAUCGGGGAGCCAACGUUGAAAUACCACUCUUUAUAAGUUAGGCAUCUAACUCUGGACCAUUAUCUGGUCAGAGGACAUUGCUAGGGGGUUAGUUUGACUGGGGCGGUCUCCUCCAAAAAGGUAACGGAGGAUUACGAAGGUCUCCUCAUGCCGGUUGGCAAUCGGCAGUUGAGCACAUGAGUAUAAGGAGGCUUUACUGUGAGACCAACAAGUCGAGCAGUUGCGAAAGCAGGUUCAAGUGAUCCGGUGGUUUAAUGUGGAAUUGCCAUCGCUUAAAGGAUAAAAGGUACCCUAGGGAUAACAGGCUGAUAGCGCCCAAGCGUUAAUAGCGACGGCGCUGUUUGGCACCUCGAUGUCGGCUCGUCACAUCCUGGGGCUGGAGAAGGUCCCAAGGGUUCGGCUGUUCGCCGAUUAAAGUGGCACGUGAGCUGGGUUCAGAACGUCGUGAGACAGUUUGGUCCUCUAUCCGCUGUGGGCGUUGGAAAUUUGAGGGGUUCAUUUCUUAGUACGAGAGGACCGGAAAUGACGAACCGCUGGUGUUCCGGUUAUUGUGUCAGCAGUAGCGCCGGGUAGCUAAGUUCGGACUGGAUAAGCGCUGAAAGCAUCUAAGCGCCAAGCCAUUCCCAAGAUGAGAUUUCCUUGAAGGUAACUUCGUGAGAGUCCUGGUAGACCACCAGGUUGAUAGGUCGGAUGUGUAAGCGUAGUAAUAUGUUCAGCUAACCGAUACUAAUGACUCGAAGACUUUUCAUU
Molecule: ribosomal RNA, 984 nt
Filed under: Puniceicoccales bacterium
Lineage: Bacteria; Pseudomonadati; Verrucomicrobiota; Opitutia; Puniceicoccales
Description: partial 23S ribosomal RNA
Rfam family: Bacterial large subunit ribosomal RNA
Source: RNAcentral